CAGCAGCCGCGGUAAUACAGAGGUGGCAAGCGUUGUUCGGAUUUACUGGGCGUAAAGCGUGCGUAGGUGGUUCCGUGUGUCGGAUGUGAAAGCCCGCGGCUCAACCGCGGAACUGCAUUCGAAACUGCGGUUCUAGAGUGCAGGAGGGGAGAGCGGAAUUCUUGGUGUAGCGGUGAAAUGCGUUGAUAUCAAGAAGAACACCGGUGGCGAAGGCGGCUCUCUGGAAUGUUACUGACACUGAGGCACGAAAGCUGGGGGAGCGAACAGGAUUAGAUACCCUGGUAGUCCCAGCUGUAAACGGUGCGCACUUGGUGUGGGAGGUAUUGACCCCUUCCGUGCCGGAGCUAACGCGUUAAGUGCGCCGCCUGGGGAGUACGGCCGCAAGGCUAAAACUCAAAGAAAUUGACGGGGGCCCGCACAAGCGGAGGAGCAUGUGGCUUAAUUCGAUGCAACGCGAAGAACCUUACCAGGGCUUGACAUGGUACUGCACGCCCCGUGAAAGCGGGAAGCUUUCGAAGGUGUAUCACAGGUGCUGCAUGGCUGUCGUCAGUUCGUGCCGUGAGGUGUUGGGUUAAGUCCCGGCACGAACGCAACCCCUGUGGUUAGUUGCUACCGCCGGUGAUAAGUCGGCGGGCACUCUAGCCGGACUGCCCGUGCAAGCGGGAGGAAGGUGGGGACGACGUCAAGUCAGUAUGGCCCUUACGCCCUGGGCUGCACACGUGCUACAAUGGUCGGUACAGAGGGAAGCAAUACCGUGAGGUGGAGCAAAUCCCCAGAAACCGGCCUCAGUUCGGAUUGGAGUCUGCAACUCGACUCCAUGAAGUCGGAUUCGCUAGUAACGGCGCAUCAGCUACGGCGCCGUGAAUACGUUCCCGGGCCUUGUACACACCGCCCGUCACAUCAUGAAAGCCGUCUGCACCCGAAGUCGCUGAGCCAACCCGCAAGGGAGGCAGGUGCCGAAGGUGUGGGUGGUGAUUGGGAUGAAGUCGUAACAAGGUAACCGUA
RNAcentral lists this ribosomal RNA (1005 nucleotides) under uncultured bacterium. RNAcentral describes it as "bacterial SSU rRNA". It matches the Rfam family "Bacterial small subunit ribosomal RNA", at positions 509 to 1504 of the family's 1533-position model. The record is from RNAcentral.